Non-coding RNA from Vibrio sp. EJY3, 169 nucleotides. Lineage: Bacteria; Pseudomonadati; Pseudomonadota; Gammaproteobacteria; Vibrionales; Vibrionaceae. The record is from Rfam.
GGCGUUUGUAGUAAGAGUUUACUGCGUUCUUGGAUAUCGCCACCAAUGUGGUAUGGCAGGCCACAGUUUGCAAAAGACACGAAUGGACCGCGCUCAAACAUGAUAAUUUCUGCGUCUUCACUCAGACGACGAGCGCGCGCUGCUGCAGAUGCGCCACCAGCGACACCAC